Molecule: ribosomal RNA, 464 nt
Filed under: uncultured bacterium
Lineage: Bacteria
Description: partial 16S ribosomal RNA
Rfam family: Bacterial small subunit ribosomal RNA
Source: RNAcentral
CUACGGGUCGCUGCAGUGGGGAAUAUUGGACAAUGGGGGGAACCCUGAUCCAGCCAUGCCGCGUGUGUGAAGAAGGCCUUUUGGUUGUAAAGCACUUUAAGCAGUGAAGAAGACUCUUCGGUUAAUACCCGGGGACGAUGACAUUAGCUGCAGAAUAAGCACCGGCUAACUCUGUGCCAGCAGCCGCGGUAAUACAGAGGGUGCAAGCGUUAUUCGGAAUUACUGGGCGUAAAGCGAGCGUAGGUGGCUUGAUAAGUCAGAUGUGAAAUCCCCGGGCUUAACCUGGGAACUGCAUCUGAAACUGUUAGGCUAGAGUAGGUGAGAGGGAAGUAGAAUUUCAGGUGUAGCGGUGAAAUGCGUAGAGAUCUGAAGGAAUACCGAUGGCGAAGGCAGCUUCCUGGCAUCAUACUGACACUGAGGCUCGAAAGCGUGGGUAGCAAACAGGAUUAGAUACCCUAGUAGUC